Small nuclear RNA from Callithrix jacchus (white-tufted-ear marmoset), 106 nucleotides. The record is from Ensembl. Lineage: Eukaryota; Metazoa; Chordata; Mammalia; Primates; Cebidae.
GUGCUCGCCUCGGCAGCACGUAUACUAAAACUGGAACAAUACAGAGAAGAUUAGCAUGGCCCUUGUGCAAGGAUGAUAGCAAAUUCGUGAAGUGUUCCAUAUUUUC